AUUGAACGCUGGCGGCAGGCCUAACACAUGCAAGUCGAGCGGAUGAAGGGAGCUUGCUCCUGGAUUCAGCGGCGGACGGGUGAGUAAUGCCUAGGAAUCUGCCUGGUAGUGGGGGAUAACGUCCGGAAACGGGCGCUAAUACCGCAUACGUCCUGAGGGAGAAAGUGGGGGAUCUUCGGACCUCACGCUAUCAGAUGAGCCUAGGUCGGAUUAGCUAGUUGGUGGGGUAAAGGCCUACCAAGGCGACGAUCCGUAACUGGUCUGAGAGGAUGAUCAGUCACCCCGGCAAUGGAGACACGGCCCGCCCCCCUCGGGGGGGCGGCGGGGGGAAAUUUUGGAGAUGGGCCGAAGCCCUGACCCAGCUGUCCGGCGUGUGGAAAGAAGUUCUUGGAAUUGAAAGCCAUUUUAAGUUGGGAGAAGGGGAAGUAAGUAAAUCCCUUCUUUUUUUGACGUUACCAACAAAAAAGCCCCCGCCUACCUUCGUG
Molecule: ribosomal RNA, 485 nt
Filed under: uncultured bacterium
Lineage: Bacteria
Description: partial 16S ribosomal RNA
Rfam family: Bacterial small subunit ribosomal RNA
Source: RNAcentral